This 467-nucleotide ribosomal RNA is filed under the name Priestia megaterium. RNAcentral describes it as "bacterial SSU rRNA". It matches the Rfam family "Bacterial small subunit ribosomal RNA", at positions 339 to 796 of the family's 1533-position model. Lineage: Bacteria; Bacillati; Bacillota; Bacilli; Caryophanales; Bacillaceae. The record is from RNAcentral.
CUACNGGGUGGCUGCAGUAGGGAAUCUUCCGCAAUGGACGAAAGUCUGACGGAGCAACGCCGCGUGAGUGAUGAAGGCUUUCGGGUCGUAAAACUCUGUUGUUAGGGAAGAACAAGUACAAGAGUAACUGCUUGUACCUUGACGGUACCUAACCAGAAAGCCACGGCUAACUACGUGCCAGCAGCCGCGGUAAUACGUAGGUGGCAAGCGUUAUCCGGAAUUAUUGGGCGUAAAGCGCGCGCAGGCGGUUUCUUAAGUCUGAUGUGAAAGCCCACGGCUCAACCGUGGAGGGUCAUUGGAAACUGGGGAACUUGAGUGCAGAAGAGAAAAGCGGAAUUCCACGUGUAGCGGUGAAAUGCGUAGAGAUGUGGAGGAACACCAGUGGCGAAGGCGGCUUUUUGGUCUGUAACUGACGCUGAGGCGCGAAAGCGUGGGGAGCAAACAGGAUUAGAUACCCUAGGUAGUCA